UUUGAGGUAGAACUGGAGGA
Molecule: microRNA, 20 nt
Filed under: Ciona intestinalis (vase tunicate)
Lineage: Eukaryota; Metazoa; Chordata; Ascidiacea; Phlebobranchia; Cionidae
Description: cin-miR-4128-3p
Source: miRBase by way of RNAcentral